UCUGGUACUAUCAGCUUACCCGGUAUUAGCGGGCAAGGUUUGCUCCCAGAUGACAGGGGUUUACGACCCGAAGGCCUUCAUCCCCCACGCGGCGUCGCUCCAUCAGGCUUUCGCCCAUUGUGAAAGAUUCUCG
RNAcentral lists this ribosomal RNA (133 nucleotides) under uncultured bacterium. Its description in RNAcentral is "partial 16S ribosomal RNA". The record is from RNAcentral.